AGUGAACGCUGGCGGUAGGCCUAACACAUGCAAGUCGAACGGCAGCACAGUAAGAGCUUGCUCUUACGGGUGGCGAGUGGCGGACGGGUGAGGGAUACAUCGGAAUCUACUUUUUCGUGGGGGAUAACGUAGGGAAACUUACGCUAACACCGCAUACGACCUACGGGUGAAAGCAGGGGAUCUUCGGACCUUGCGCGAUUGAAUGAGCCGAUGUCGGAUUAGCUAGUUGGCGGGGUAAAGGCCCACCAAGGCGACGAUCCGUAGCUGGUCUGAGAGGAUGAUCAGCCACACUGGAACUGAGACACGGUCCAGACUCCUACGGGAGGCAGCAGUGGGGAAUAUUGGACAAUGGGCGCAAGCCUGAUCCAGCCAUACCGCGUGGGUGAAGAAGGCCUUCGGGUUGUAAAGCCCUUUUGUUGGGAAAGAAAAGCAGCAGGUUAAUACCCCGCUGUUCUGACGGUACCCAAAGAAUAAGCACCGGCUAACUUCGUG
Molecule: ribosomal RNA, 492 nt
Filed under: uncultured bacterium
Lineage: Bacteria
Description: partial 16S ribosomal RNA
Rfam family: Bacterial small subunit ribosomal RNA
Source: RNAcentral